UGCAGUCGAACGAUGAUGCCCAGCUUGCUGGGCGGAUUAGUGGCGAACGGGUGAGUAAUACGUGAGUAACCUGCCCUUGACUCUGGGAUAAGCCUGGGAAACUGGGUCUAAUACUGGAUACUACCUCUUGCCGCAUGGUGGGUGGUGGAAAGGGUUUUACUGGUUUUGGAUGGGCUCACGGCCUAUCAGCUUGUUGGUGGGGUAAUGGCUCACCAAGGCGACGACGGGUAGCCGGCCUGAGAGGGUGACCGGCCACACUGGGACUGAGACACGGCCCAGACUCCUACGGGAGGCAGCAGUGGGGAAUAUUGCACAAUGGGCGGAAGCCUGAUGCAGCGACGCCGCGUGAGGGAUGACGGCCUUCGGGUUGUAAACCUCUUUCAGUAGGGAAGAAGCGAGAGUGACGGUACCUGCAGAAGAAGCGCCGGCUAACUACGUGCCAGCAGCCGCGGUAAUACGUAGGGCGCAAGCGUUGUCCGGAAUUAUUGGGCGUAAAGAGCUCGUAGGCGGUUUGUCGCGUCUGCUGUGAAAGCCCGGGGCUCAACCCCGGGUCUGCAGUGKGUACGGGCAGACUAGAGUGCACUACGGGAGACUGGAAUUCCUGGUGUAGCGGUGAAAUGCGCAUAUAUCAGGAGGAACACCGAUGGCGAAGGCAGGUCUCUGGGCUGUUACUGACGCURAGGAGCGAAAGCAUGSGGAGCGAACAGGAUUAGAUACCCUGGUAGUCCAUGCCGUAUACGUUGGGCACUAGGUGUGGGGGACAUUCCACGUUUUCCGCGCCGUAGCUAACGCAUUAAKUGCCCCGCCUGGGGAGUACGGCCGCAAGGCUA
RNAcentral lists this ribosomal RNA (830 nucleotides) under Kocuria rosea. RNAcentral describes it as "bacterial SSU rRNA". It matches the Rfam family "Bacterial small subunit ribosomal RNA", at positions 56 to 896 of the family's 1533-position model. Lineage: Bacteria; Bacillati; Actinomycetota; Actinomycetes; Micrococcales; Micrococcaceae. The record is from RNAcentral.